AAAACACAACACAGCAGCUCUGCAGUAAAUGCACAAAGCACGAGGCCCUUGACUGAGUGUUCUUCAACUGGCUACCUUGACAACAUCCCAGGACCCGGAAAAAAUCUUCUUCUGAGAGAAAACCAGACAGCAUCUUCCACAAACUCUCAGCAAUCGACAAGUGGCCUGGAAGAUUGCCUGAAAAUGAUGCAACAAGUAUCUCAAUAUAAUUAUGCAGAAGCAAAUAAAGCAAGGAAGACAACCAACAAGAUUUCUGUUGACAGAUAUUAAACAAUUUGAAACAAUUGGAACUGUUUCUAUAUCAGAUAAGAAUAUGGAUCAUCU
This 324-nucleotide long non-coding RNA is filed under the name Mus pahari (shrew mouse). RNAcentral's name for it is "lncRNA (MGP_PahariEiJ_G0005521.1)". Lineage: Eukaryota; Metazoa; Chordata; Mammalia; Rodentia; Muridae. The record is from RNAcentral.